GAUAAACGCUAGCGGCAGGCUUAACACAUGCAAGUCGAGGGGCAGCAUGGAUUGUAGCAAUACAAUUGGUGGCGACCGGCGCACGGGUGCGUAACGCGUAUGCAACCUACCCGUCACAGGGGGAUAAUCCGGAGAAAUCUGGUCUAAUACCCCAUAACAUAUGGAUCGGCAUCGGUUCAUGUUGAAAUUUUCGGAGGUGACGGAUGGGCAUGCGUAGCAUUAGCUUGUUGGUGAGGUAACGGCUCACCAAGGCGACGAUGCUUAGGGGGACUGAGAGGUUUUCCCCCCACACUGGUACUGAGACACGGACCAGUCUCCUACGGGAGGCAGCAGUGGGGAAUAUUGGUCAAUGGGCGCAAGCCUGAACCAGCCAUGCCGCGCGCAGGAUGACGGCUCUAUGAGUUGUAAACUGCUUUUGUACGAGGGUAAAGUGGGUUACGUGUAACCUUUUGAAAGUAUCGUACGAAUAAGGAUCGGCUAACUCCGUGCCAGCCGCCGCAGUAA
Molecule: ribosomal RNA, 504 nt
Filed under: uncultured bacterium
Lineage: Bacteria
Description: partial 16S ribosomal RNA
Rfam family: Bacterial small subunit ribosomal RNA
Source: RNAcentral